RNAcentral lists this unclassified non-coding RNA (254 nucleotides) under Basidiomycota sp. RNAcentral describes it as "partial contains small subunit ribosomal RNA, internal transcribed spacer 1, and 5.8S ribosomal RNA". The stretch from base 1 to 47 matches the Rfam family "Eukaryotic small subunit ribosomal RNA", at positions 1785 to 1831 of the family's 1831-position model. Lineage: Eukaryota; Fungi; Basidiomycota. The record is from RNAcentral.
AAAGUCGUAACAAGGUUUCCGUAGGUGAACCUGCGGAAGGAUCAUUAUUGAUUUCAAAAUGGGAUGUGCUGGUCUCCUUUCAAAGGGGGGACAUUUAAGUGCACUCCCAACCUUGAUCAUCCACCCUGUGCACAUUCAGUAGACGAGGAGAUCAUUCAAAUCACCUUGUCUACUUUUUUUAACACACUCAAUUUAUUAAUGGAUGGUGGUUUGAAAUAUUAAUACAACUUUCAACAAUGGAUCUCUUGGUUCUC